UGUUCGGAUUUACUGGGCGUAAAGCGCGCGCAGGCGGAUCAAUAAGUCAGAUGUGAAAUCUCGGGGCUCAACCCCGAAACUGCGUCUGAAACUGUUGAUCUAGAGUUAUGGAGGGGAGAGCGGAAUUUCGCAUGUAGGGGUAAAAUCCGUAGAGAUGCGAAGGAACACCAGAGCCGAAGGGGGCUCUCUGGCCAUUAACUGACGCUGAGGCGCGAAAGCGUGGGUAGCAAACAGGAUUAGAUACCCUGGUAGUCCACGCCGUAAACGAUGAGUACUAGAUAUUGGGGACUUUGACCUCUUCAGUGUCGCAGCUAACGCAUUAAGUACUCCGCCUGGGAAGUACGGUCGCAAGACUAAAACUCAAAGGAAUUGACGGGGGCCCGCACAAGCGGUGGAUUAUGUGGUUUAAUUCGAAGCAACGCGCAGAACCUUACCUGGGCUUGAAAUUCCGAGAAGAUCGACCAAAAUUGAUUGUGCUCUUCGGAGAACUCGGUGACAGG
Molecule: ribosomal RNA, 500 nt
Filed under: uncultured delta proteobacterium CE46
Lineage: Bacteria; Deltaproteobacteria
Description: bacterial SSU rRNA
Rfam family: Bacterial small subunit ribosomal RNA
Source: RNAcentral